UCUGUAGGUCGCUUAUGAAGUCUAUUGUUAAAUUCCAGGGCUUAACCUUGGCAGGCAAUAGAGUACUCAUCUGCUAGAGUGUGGGAGAGGUAGGGGAACUCCUCGUGGAGCGGUGAAAUGCGUAGAGAUGAGGAAGAACACCAGAGGCGAAAGCGCUCUACUGGACCAAGACUGACACUGAGAGACGAAAGCUAAGGGAGUAGAAAA
Molecule: ribosomal RNA, 207 nt
Filed under: uncultured bacterium
Lineage: Bacteria
Description: partial 16S ribosomal RNA
Rfam family: Bacterial small subunit ribosomal RNA
Source: RNAcentral